This 1290-nucleotide long non-coding RNA is filed under the name Bos indicus x Bos taurus (hybrid cattle). Its description in RNAcentral is "lncRNA (ENSBIXG00005017879.1)". The record is from RNAcentral. Lineage: Eukaryota; Metazoa; Chordata; Mammalia; Artiodactyla; Bovidae.
CUCCCUGGAUCUCAGGAUCCAUCAGGGGAAACAGAGCCCAAGUUAUUUUUCUCUGAGCUUCCUUAAUUUUAUUUUACUGCCUUGGGCAUGAUUAGGACAAUGGUGAGGCUUUGAGGAGGGAAGAUGUUUGGGGGGUGCUUGAAAUAUCUAAUGGGGUCUCCAAAUGUCUAGUCCUUCUGGAGACCAGAAAGACUCCAACCCCUAGGAAAACAGAGGUCUCCUGAGCAGUUUUUGUGCGGAAGGAAUUUCGUGCGCCACACCCCUCUGCAAAACGUUGGGACCCCUUUGGCUCAGGUAACCCCCUUCAUAUUCUAGGCUGCUUUCCAGAGCCACAAUUGCUCCCCUCCUUUUAAGACUGGCUGUUCUGUUCAUCUUGGGUGCCAAGAUUUUUCUUUUACUCGCUAAGCCUUCCCCAUAUAAUCUAAUGCUUCAUUUCUUCCCAGAAAAAAUAAGAUAGUUACUUCAAAUUCAGCAUUUCAAUAAUAGUAGUAAAAAGUCCUUCUUUGUAAAAGGUACAGGGUCAGUUCCUGCCACAGAGCUCAUCUGCAUCAUCUCCGUUUCUCUCUUGUGGAUGAGGAGAAGACCUUUGCAUUUGACCAAAAAGCACUAGUAAAUAAGGAGUUAAAAUGAAGGCAGGCUCACUGGUUUGCUGAGAUCUGUCAGAGUCUGACUGGCUGGCUACAUAUCUGUCUCUGGAACAAUAGGUACCUGUAUUCUGCACGGACUGCUGGGCAGCGCUGACACUCUGGAGAAGGUCUGCCUCUGCACUUUCCUGGUUCUAUGCAGGCAGAUGAGUACCACAGCUGUAACUGAGGCACACGGCAAUAAACACAGUGGAGCCAAUUUCUACGAUGGCGAGAGAGGGGGCAUCAGAGUUGACAACAAUGACAAGGAUCCAAGGACCGUCCUUCUGACAAGUUUCAGAUUCUCAAACUCAACUGCUGAAGUUAGGAAGUGUACUUCAUAGGAAAAUACAGGUGGAUAUUUCUUAAAGCAACUACUAUAUCUGACCUCUGCCAUGGAGCUGUUUUACUGACUAUAAGAGUCAUGACUUGUGUACAUAGAUAUGAAUAUAGGGCUUACUUCAAGAAGGUAUUAUUCAUACCUGAUACAUACAUAACAUGUACUAAUUUUCUUGGGUGAAGCAAGUUGGAAAGGUUGCACCCUGAACCACUGAACAUGAUGGCCGAUGUGCACCCUCUAAUUUAUAUGGAGGUCCUCUGCUGAAGCAUCCCCAUUCUUUGGGCAUCCCUGCAAGCUAAUUGAGAUAAGUGAGGAUGCAGCUUGGGC